AUGUCAACGGUUUGACAGGCUUCCGACGCGUUACUCCCUUUCAUCUCCGCCGUUGACAGCGCGGUUUAAAGCUCUUUUUGUACUUAGGCUAUAUCUAAAUUUGUGUUUUUGGAAUGAGAAAUCACUGAGCAGGAACGCAUGUUUUCAUGUGCUCGCGAAGGAGGGAACGGAUGAAAAGCUGUUUUUACCUCACAAGCCUCCCUGUGAUCUGAGACCAUUGGAAACUCAUUCACCUGUCUUUUCUCAUAGAGAAAACAAAAGCAGAAGGAUUGUGUAUCUGGGAGGAAAUUUCACCCUUGUGUUUGUGUAUUGUCUUUUAUGGAAGGUCAUUAGCCAACAGUGAUGUUUCACAGUGUAUAUGGAUCUAGAAAUAGAAAUAUGCCAAUAAAGAAAGAAUGUGCAAUAAAGUGACCACAAAGGCACCUUUAUCUCUCUGGAAGGACUUGCACUCCAAGGUGCUUUUUCUUAGCAAAGGAAUUUUGCAUGAUGCCUUGAAAACAGCAGUAACAUCAGGCUUCGUAUCAGCACGAUCAGAAGAGAAUAAAUGGUGCUGUCAAUGUCCACACAGAGGAAAAUGCAAGAUGGUAUUAUCCAAAGCGACUUACAAAUGAGGAACAUUGCAAGCAGUUUAUCAUGAGUCAGUCAACGUUAGGCAAGACAUGAGGUAAAACGAUGAGAAAUACUCCAACCAUUUAUUACAACAGAUUCUCAUUUUGCAGCCGGUUCAAUAUCCUAAACAUACUUUCUUUGUGAGACAAAAUCAUUAAACAAACCUUGAUAGAGGGACUGAAUAAAAGAUGUUUAUACCCUGGCAACACAGAUGCAUUCAAGACCAUUUUUUCAAGAUGUGUAGACGGAGCAUGUAGAUGUGAUUAGCAUCCUGGUUGAGGAGCCGUGAUAGUGCUUUGGAAUGGUCGUCAUGGAUAGGAGCGGUGGGGUGACAGUGAUGUAUGGCUCCUGGAGCUGAGCAGUCUUCGCCUGUUGAUUACCUUGGCAACCUGAAUGUGAAAACUCUGCUGAAUCUGUUAGUUAGAAUGCUCUAGUGUAAAAAACAAACAAAAACAAAACA
This is a long non-coding RNA of Onychostoma macrolepis, 1069 nucleotides long. RefSeq lists it as uncharacterized. NCBI's taxonomy places the organism in Eukaryota, Metazoa, Chordata, Actinopteri, Cypriniformes, Cyprinidae. The record is from RefSeq and is a predicted model, not a curated record. The transcript has 5 exons.